AGAGUUUGAUCAUGGCUCAGAACGAACGUUAGCGGCGCGCCUAACACAUGCAAGUCGAGCGAGAAAGGGCUUCGGCCCCGGUAAAGCGGCGCACGGGUGAGUAACACGUGGGUAAUCUGCCCUCGAGUCGGGGAUAACAUUCCGAAAGGAGUGCUAAUACCGGAUAAGACUACGACCUCGAAAGAGGAUGAAGUCAAAGCUGGCCUCUAUAUAUAAGCUAGCGCUUGAGGAUGAGCCCGCGGCGCAUCAGGUAGUUGGUGAGGUAACGGCUCACCAAGCCAAAGACGCGUAGCUGGUCUGAGAGGAUGAUCAGCCACACUGGAACUGAGACACGGUCCAGACUCCUACGGGAGGCAGCAGUGGGGAAUCUUGCGCAAUGGGCGAAAGCCUGACGCAGCGACGCCGCGUGAGUGAUGAAGGCCUUCGGGUUGUAAAGCUCUGUGGGGAGAGACGAAUAAGUCGUAGCUAAUACCUCCGAUGAUGACGGUAUCUCCUUAGCAAGCACCGGCUAACUCUGUGCCAGCAGCCGCGGUAAGACAGAGGGUGCAAACGUUGUUCGGAAUUACUGGGCGUAAAGCGAGUGUAGGCGGUCUUGUAAGUCGGAUGUGAAAGCCCCGGGCUCAACCCGGGAAGUGCACUCGAUACUGCGAGGCUAGAGUACUGGAGAGGUUGGUGGAAUUCUCGGUGUAGAGGUGAAAUUCGUAGAUAUCGAGAGGAACACCGGUGGCGAAGGCGGCCAACUGGACAGAUACUGACGCUGAGACUCGAAAGCGUGGGGAGCAAACAGGAUUAGAUACCCUAGUAGUCC
This 808-nucleotide ribosomal RNA is filed under the name uncultured bacterium. Its description in RNAcentral is "bacterial SSU rRNA". It matches the Rfam family "Bacterial small subunit ribosomal RNA", at positions 8 to 796 of the family's 1533-position model. The record is from RNAcentral.